UGGCCUUUAGUUUCGUAAGAGGGAAGAUAAAGUCACUGAUAGCAACUAAAAUAGGACUAUUUGCUACUAAGUUCGAGGAAACAGUUAUGGUGUCAGUUGAGCUGUAUAACGUAGUACAACAAAAUACAGGUUAUCAACAGAAGUUUAGAAAGACUAUAUGAGAGGAUGUUUCCAUGUCCACACAUACCAAUGAUUGGAGUUCUUUCUAAAUGAGCGGUAAUUCCAAUAUUCUUGGCUCCUUAAAUAACCAUUAGUUUAUCAUUUACCACUUGGUUGAUCGUGUGACACUGUUGAUGAAAAACUACGCGGUACUUUUCUUUUUACAGACAAAAUUGAGUUUUAAUUCAUCUAAAAAAUCAACGACAUAUAUUUCUAAAAUUAUUAUUUGCAUUUUUGUCGAGGAUAAAAGAUUUUUCUUUAAGAAAUAAGGACGUAAUUUUUGCAAGUAGUAUAUCGAAAUUUUUAACUGUGUUAUAGUGAUAGUACAGGGAG
Molecule: non-coding RNA, 492 nt
Organism: Parasteatoda tepidariorum (common house spider)
Lineage: Eukaryota; Metazoa; Arthropoda; Arachnida; Araneae; Theridiidae
Source: RefSeq, a predicted model, not a curated record